GUCUUGUAGAAGAAAAUCAAUUACCUAACAGUUUUAGUCUCAUUUUAUCCUGAUAUCCUCUUUCCUGUUCACUGAUUAAGUUCCUAUUAUUUUACCUGAGCAACAACUUUUAGUGUCUCCUGAUUUAAUUAAGUCUGUCUGCCUUUGCUCUGGUUUAGUGUUAAAACAAAGCAUUUUGCAUUGAUCACUGUGAGUGAGACAUUUUGUUGGAGCCCAGGUUGGCUCCAACAAAAGAUCAUCCUUAACUAAUCAAAGCACUUUUGAUUAGUUGAAGCAGACAGUAUUGAGUCUAUGCAAAUCUACUCAGACAGACUUGUGAGUUGAUUGUCUUCUCAGCUUUUGUUUAUUCUGUUGUUUCCUGUAACCUUGUAUAAAACCCUGGCUAGAAACUCAUUCUGGUCAGAGAGAAUCCUACAGCUUCUUGAGAGCUUCUUGUGAACUUCUUUCUUCACUGCGCAGUGAAUAAAACUCAUCUGAACCAGCCACUGAAUUGGACCUGAGAGAUCUUUUUCUUCCACACUGUCCAAAUAUGUAUCCGCUCCUGGUUUUUAUAACUGGAAAUGGGAAUCAUGGUGAUGCACAAUUUAAAGAUUUAAUUCCAGUUGUCAGAUAGGUUCAUUUGCCAAGUGAAUGAGAGCUUUUGAGCUGAAUGAGAGCUAAACAACUUAAUUACCUGGUGAACUGAAGAAAUACUCUUGAUCACCACUAGACAUUAUGCCAUUUUGUGUCUGAGAACAGGUAUUGUGGUUUGUCUGUUCUCAUGAGCCAUUUUUAUUGGUCAAUAUUAUACUUUUUUUGCUAAAAACAGGCUAUACUUUUGGUUUUUAAAUACACAUAACAGGAGUCCAAAGAUCUAACCGCUGUGAUUAUAUGGGACUACUGUACUUUAAUUUAGUUAAACUCCUUCUGUAAAGCACAAUUAAAGGUUUAGUUUGAAGAACUUUCCCAGAGUUAAUCCUCCUGCUAUCCUACUGCCGACAGCACAGUUUUCUUCACAAUAAGAUUCACUUUUCUGAUUCACCAGACUGUGCGCUUUCAAUUGAUCUAUAUAACAAACACUGUGGUGUGCUCGGCUGCACAGAGGAGCCAUGCUUUUGUUGAAACUUGUUUAUUGUGUUGAGUGAUUAAUGCAUUGAAAAGUUGAGUGUUUCAGAAAACACGGCUCUGGUUUCUCUGGGGCCACCCACACUAUAAAUGGAAACUCUUGCUCACUAGUAUGAGGUCCCAUUGAAAGGAAAACCCUGUCCAAGUACGGUACUGUUGUUUGUGUAUGUUGGAAGCCUAUAUAUUAAACAGCUAACAGAUGCUGCCCCCUGGUGACAUAUCACUGUGUCUACACUCUGUGAACCUUUAUGGAUGAGUUAGGUUAUUGACUUAAAUAUGACAAUACAGACACAUAAAAUAAC
Sander lucioperca (pikeperch) is the source of this 1406-nucleotide long non-coding RNA. RefSeq lists it as uncharacterized. NCBI's taxonomy places the organism in Eukaryota, Metazoa, Chordata, Actinopteri, Perciformes, Percidae. The record is from RefSeq and is a predicted model, not a curated record. The transcript is spliced from 2 exons.